UACGUAGGGUGCGAGCGUUAAUCGGAAUUACUGGGCGUAAAGCGCGCGUAGGUGGUUUGUUAAGUUGGAUGUGAAAUCCCCGGGCUCAACCUGGAUGGCGCUUGUGACUGCAAGCUAGAGUGACGGCGAGAGGGGGAUGGAAUUCGUGUGUAGCAGUGAAAUGCGUAGAUAUGACGGAGGAACACCGAUGGCGAAGGGCCAAUCCCCCUGGGGCCUGCACUGACGUCAUGCACGAAAGCGUGGGGGAGCAAACAGG
This 256-nucleotide ribosomal RNA is filed under the name uncultured bacterium. RNAcentral describes it as "partial 16S ribosomal RNA". It matches the Rfam family "Bacterial small subunit ribosomal RNA", at positions 524 to 776 of the family's 1533-position model. The record is from RNAcentral.